Molecule: long non-coding RNA, 279 nt
Organism: Daphnia carinata
Lineage: Eukaryota; Metazoa; Arthropoda; Branchiopoda; Diplostraca; Daphniidae
Exons: 2
Source: RefSeq, a predicted model, not a curated record
CAGGCGACCGAUGGACAAUGAGAAAACUCGUCAAACAGGGACUUCUUAUUCUUUAACAGACCGAAACUCGUCGUACCGUUCUUCAGCGAUCUGCACAGUGAACAGAAAAGGAUAAUUCCACUUAAGUGUACAUAUUUAAGGUUGCUGUUCCUAUGCUCGUGGCGCGUGACUAACUUCUUACAGCUUCCAAUUUCCUUUACAAAAAUCUUGUUUGUCAUAUCGUUAACCUUCAGGGCAUCAUUGUCUUUAAUUGUCAACCGCACAUUCUUUUUUUUUUUU